This 1492-nucleotide ribosomal RNA is filed under the name uncultured bacterium. Its description in RNAcentral is "partial 16S ribosomal RNA". It matches the Rfam family "Bacterial small subunit ribosomal RNA". The record is from RNAcentral.
AGAGUUUGAUCCUGGCUCAGGACGAACGCUGGCGGCGUGCUUAACACAUGUGAGCCCAGGGGAACUUAGUGCUUCGGCAUUGAUAGUAUACUGGCGGACGGGUGAGUAACACGUAGGUUAUCUACCAUCGAGUUCGGGAUAGUCCGGGGAAACUCGGUUUAAUACCGGAUAAGGUCUAACUGUAUAGUUAGAUGAAAGGUUGUUAUUAGAUUACUUGGUGAUGAGCCUGCGGCUAAUUAGUUAGUUGGUAGGGUAAUGGCCUACCAAGGCGAUGAUUAGUAGCUGGUCUGAGAGGAAUUUCAGCCACACUGGGACUGAGACACGGCCCAGACUCCUACGGGAGGCAGCAGUGAGGAAUAUUGCGCAAUGGGUGAGAGCCUGACGCAGCGACGCCGCGUGACUGAGGACGCCCUAAGGGGUGUAAAGGUCUGUCGUUGGAGAAGAAUCUGUUUGAUAUGAGAGUGUCAAGCACUGACGGUACCCAACAAGCAAGCUCCGGCUAACUCCGUGCCAGCAGCCGCGGUAAUACGGAGGGAGCGAGCGUUGUUCGGAAUUACUGGGUGUAAAGGGCACGUAGGCUUCUAGGCCAGCUUUUGGUGAAAUGCCACUGCUUAACGGUGGAGUUGCCAGAGGAACUGUCUGGAUUGAGUAUAGAAUGGGAAUGCGGAACUCCUGGUGGAGAGGUGAAAUUCGUAGAUAUCAGGAGGAACACCAGUGGCGAAGGCGGCAUUCUGGUCUAUAACUGACGCUGAGGUGCGAAAGCGUGGGUAGCGAACGGGAUUAGAGACCCCGGUAGUCCACGCCGUAAACUAUGGAUACUUGAUGUUUAGGGUUAGACCUAAGUAUCGAAGUUAACGCGUUAAGUAUCCCGCCUGGGGAGUAAGGUCGCAAGACCCAAACUCAAAGGAAUUGACGGGGGCCCGCACAAGCGGUGGAACAUGUGGUUUAAUUCGAUGCAACGCGAAGAACCUUACCUGGACUUGACAUGUUAGUGACAGAUUCGUGAAAGCGAGUCUAUCUACAGUCUAUUUUAGGCAGUAGCACUAUCACAGGUGAUGCAUGGCUGUCGUCAGCUCGUGUCGCGAGAUGUUGGGUUAAGUCCUUAAACGAGCGCAACCCCUGUUCUUAGUUACCAUCAGGUAGUGCUGGGGACUCUAAGGAGACUGCCGAGGACAACUCGGAGGAAGGUGGGGAUGACGUCAAGUCAGUAUGUCCCUUAUGUUCAGGGCUACACACGUGUUACAAUGGCAGGUACAAUGGGUAGCGAAGCCGAGAGGUGUAGCUAAUCCUAAAAAGCCUGUCUAAGUUCGGAUUGGAGUCUGCAACUCGACUUCAUGAAGUCGGAAUCGCUAGUAAUCGCGGAUCAGCAUGCCGCGGUGAAUAUGUUCCCGGGCCUUGUACACACCGCCCGUCACGCCAUGGAAGUCGGUGGCGCCCGAAGUUGCCAAAUGCGGAGGCAUAGGUAAUGAAGGUGAGGCCGGUAACUGGGGCG